Molecule: ribosomal RNA, 497 nt
Filed under: uncultured bacterium
Lineage: Bacteria
Description: partial 16S ribosomal RNA
Rfam family: Bacterial small subunit ribosomal RNA
Source: RNAcentral
GAUGAACGCUGGCGGCGUGCCUAAUACAUGCAAGUCGAGCGAACGGACGAGAAGCUUGCUUUUCUGAUGUUAGCGGCGGACGGGUGAGUAACACGUGGAUAACCUACCUAUAAGACUGGGAUAACUUCGGGAAACCGGAGCUAAUACCGGAUAAUAUUUUGAACCGCAUGGUUCAAAAGUGAAAGACGGUCUUGCUGUCACUUAUAGAUGGAUCCGCGCUGCAUUAGCUAGUUGGUAAGGUAACGGCUUACCAAGGCAACGAUGCAUAGCCGACCUGAGAGGGUGAUCGGCCACACUGGAACUGAGACACGGUCCAGACUCCUACGGGAGGCAGCAGUAGGGAAUCUUCUGCAAUGGGCGAAAGCCUGACGGAGCAACGCCGCGUGAGUGAUGAAGGUCUUCGGAUCGUAAAACUCUGUUAUUAGGGAAGAACAUAUGUGUAAGUAACUGUGCACAUCUUGACGGUACCUAAUCAGAAAGCCACGGCUAACUACGUG